AGCAGCCGCGGUAAUUCCAGCUCCAAUAGCGUAUAUUAAAGUUGUUGCAGUUAAAAGCUCGUAGUUGAACUUCGGGGUUUACCCAUUGGUCAGGCUUAAUUGUCUGCACUAGUGAGAUGAAUCUCUACCUUCUGAGGAACUUUCAUGCCAUUUAUUUGGUGUGAUUGGAAAUCAGGAUUGUUACUUUGAAAAAUUAGAGUGUUUAAAGCAGGCUAACGUCUGAAUACAUUAGCAUGGAAUAAUGAAAUAGGACGGACUGAUUCUAUUUCGUUGGUUUCUAGGAUCACCGUAAUGAUUAAUAGGGAUAGUUGGGGGCAUUAGUAUUCAAUUGUCAGAGGUGAAAUUCUUGGAUUUAUUGAAGACUAACUACUGCGAAAAGCAUUCGCCAAGGAUGUUUUCAUUAAUCAAGAACGAAGUUAGGGGAUCGAAGACGAUCAGAUACCGUCGUAGUCUUAACCAUAAACUAUGCCGACU
Molecule: ribosomal RNA, 474 nt
Filed under: uncultured Diversispora
Lineage: Eukaryota; Fungi; Glomeromycota; Glomeromycetes; Diversisporales; Diversisporaceae
Description: SSU rRNA
Rfam family: Eukaryotic small subunit ribosomal RNA
Source: RNAcentral